This 696-nucleotide long non-coding RNA is filed under the name Salmo salar (Atlantic salmon). RNAcentral's name for it is "lncRNA (ENSSSAG00000092813.1, ENSSSAG00000116931.1)". Lineage: Eukaryota; Metazoa; Chordata; Actinopteri; Salmoniformes; Salmonidae. The record is from RNAcentral.
AUUUAUCAUUUCUUCUUCGUUAUGGAGAAUGACUAACGUUAGUUCUGAAAACGAACGAUUCUCCCUCUCAUAAUUUUACCCUAUUAAUUCAGGUCACUGAUACUCCACCUGAUGUGGUGUAAGUAGUCGAACCAGAUCAGAACGCCUUUGAAGACCACCUUCAGGCACGGACUGAGAAGGAUGUGGAGGUUUUUGACCAGGGUGUUGUGGAGGAUGUGGACUGUGGAGCAGACCUACCCAUCCAGCACAGCUAUGAUCAAAGCACAGCUCCAGCCCUUCAACCCUGCCCCGGACCGGGUCGAAGCCUGACUGCACAGAUGGUACCUCUGGACCUCAGGAGGAUACCAAUGAUUCAGUCAACAGAUGCUGAGGGGGAUAAUCCGGUGCAGCAGAGGCGUGCAGCUUCCACAGUACAGCAAGUUAUGUGGCUGUGAGAACCUCCGUGACAGUGGCUGAGGUCCACAGCUGCCUGACCACCACACAGGCAGUGUUGAACAAACACAAGAGCAGACCUGGUCUCAAGCUGAAUGCUUGUCUUGCCAACACAGACACCUAUGAGGGUGUAAGUCUGACAGCCAGAGAUGACAGCACCCUGGCUCAUGUGACAUCAUCCAUGUGCAAACUCAUUGACCAGCAGUGCCAAAGGAUGGACAAGAGAUUUGGUGACAAAACUGGUCGAUCUGCAAAAUGGACUUG